This is a long non-coding RNA of Lagopus leucura (white-tailed ptarmigan), 477 nucleotides long. RefSeq lists it as uncharacterized. The record is from RefSeq and is a predicted model, not a curated record. Lineage: Eukaryota; Metazoa; Chordata; Aves; Galliformes; Phasianidae. The transcript has 4 exons.
UGUAGUCCUCUUAGAGCUUAUACAGCCAUGUGGACCCUCCCAAAAUUACCAGUGACUCAUUGCAAGGAUGUUUUGCUAUUUGGGAACCUAAGCUGCUUUGGGAGUGGGCCGCUGCAUCAGGAAUAGGUUACUAUUGAUGUUGUUCAGCCCACUGGAAAUCAUUUCCCCGAGAGAUCAGUACUUCACCUCAGUAUGCUGAUUGAGUUAGCCUUCAAAAAUACACAGAAGGAAAUAAAAGCCACAGACAGCUAGCAAAUCCAGCUAAGCCAUGAAUGAGUCAACGUGUCCGCUAAGAUGCAUUGACUUUCCGUCCGUUUACAUUUAGAAACUAAAGAAACAAAAAGGACCUUUCAGUUCAACUCUGUGUUCUAAGUAGAUUUUGUGUCAGCAGCGUGUGGAAUUUCCUUUGGUCCCUUAAUGUUGUCAUAUCGUAUAGACAGCAGCACUCAGAACAGCACAGCAUCACUGCUUCAUGGA